UGGGGAAUAUUGGACAAUGGGCGCAAGCCUGAUCCAGCCAUGCCGCGUGAGUGAUGAAGGUCUUAGGAUUGUAAAGCUCUUUCACCGGAGAAGAUAAUGACGGUAUCCGGAGAAGAAGCCCCGGCUAACUUCGUGCCAGCAGCCGCGGUAAUACGAAGGGGGCUAGCGUUGUUCGGAAUUACUGGGCGUAAAGCGCACGUAGGCGGAUAUUUAAGUCAGGGGUGAAAUCCCAGAGCUCAACUCUGGAACUGCCUUUGAUACUGGGUAUCUUGAGUAUGGAAGAGGUAAGUGGAAUUGCGAGUGUAGAGGUGAAAUUCGUAGAUAUUCGCAGGAACACCAGUGGCGAAGGCGGCUUACUGGUCCAUUACUGACGCUGAGGUGCGAAAGCGUGGGGAGCAAACA
Molecule: ribosomal RNA, 402 nt
Filed under: uncultured Agrobacterium sp.
Lineage: Bacteria; Pseudomonadati; Pseudomonadota; Alphaproteobacteria; Hyphomicrobiales; Rhizobiaceae
Also listed under: 2 other names
Description: partial 16S ribosomal RNA
Rfam family: Bacterial small subunit ribosomal RNA
Source: RNAcentral